This 593-nucleotide ribosomal RNA is filed under the name uncultured bacterium. Its description in RNAcentral is "bacterial SSU rRNA". It matches the Rfam family "Bacterial small subunit ribosomal RNA", at positions 339 to 916 of the family's 1533-position model. The record is from RNAcentral.
UUACGGGAGGCAGCAGUAGGGAAUCUUAGACAAUGGGGGCAACCCUGAUCUAGCCAUGCCGCGUGUGUGAUGAAGGCCCUACAGGGUCGAUUAAAAAAUGACGCAUUGAGUCGCACAGAGAUGUUGCUGACCGUAUCUGCGUAAGCGCAUACAGCACCACCCAGAGCUGAUCUCCGAGCUCAAAGGCAUUGCCCGGGUAAUACGGAGGGGGUUAGCGUUGUUCGGAAUUACUGGGCGUAAAGCGCACGUAGCGCGGAUUAGUAAGUUAGAGGUGAAAUCCCAGGGCUCAACCCUGGAACUGCCUUUAANACUGUUAGUCUUGAGUUCGAGAGAGGUAAGUGGAAUUCCGAGUGUAGAGGUGAAAUUCGUAGAUAUUCGGAGGAACACCAGUGGCGAAGGCGGCUCACUGGCUCGAUACUGACGCUGAGGUGCNAAAGUGAGGGGAGCAAACAGGAUUAGAUACCCUGGUAGUCCACACCGUAAACGAUGAAUGCCAGACGUCAGCAAGUAUACUUGUUGGUGUCACACCUAACGGAUUAAGCAUUCCGCCUGGGGAGUACGGUCGCAAGAUUAAAANUNAAANGAAUUGACGG